UAAUCCGGAUUGAGCGUGCCGCAUGGUCGACGUUUGGAAAGAAUUUCGGUCCAGGGAUGACUCGCGGCCUAUCAGCUUGUUGGUGAGGUAAUGGCUCACCAAGGCGUCGACGGGUAGCCGGCCUGAGAGGGUGACCGGCCACACUGGGACUGAGACACGGCCCAGACUCCUACGGGAGGCAGCAGUGGGGAAUAUUGCACAAUGGGCGAAAGCCUGAUGCAGCAACGCCGCGUGAGGGACGACGGCCUUCGGGUUGUAAACCUCUUUUAGCAGGGAAGAAGCGAAAGUGACGGUACCUGCAGAAAAAGCGCCGGCUAACUACGUGCCAGCAGCCGCGGUAAUACGUAGGGCGCAAGCGUUAUCCGGAAUUAUUGGGCGUAAAGAGCUCGUAGGCGGUUUGUCGCGUCUGCUGUGAAAACUGGAGGCUCAACCUCCAGCCUGCAGUGGGUACGGGCAGACUAGAGUGCGGUAGGGGAGAUUGGAAUUCCUGGUGUAGCGGUGGAAUGCGCAGAUAUCAGGAGGAACACCGAUGGCGAAGGCAGAUCUCUGGGCCGUAACUGACGCUGAGGAGCGAAAGGGUGGGGAGCAAACAGGCUUAGAUACCCUGGUAGUCCACCCCGUAAACGUUGGGAACUAGUUGUGGGGUCCAUUCCACGGAUUCCGUGACGCAGCUAACGCAUUAAGUUCCCCGCCUGGGGAGUACGGCCGCAAGGCUAAAACUCAAAGGAAUUGACGGGGACCCGCACAAGCGGCGGAGCAUGCGGAUUAAUUCGAUGCAACGCGAAGAACCUUACCAAGGCUUGACAUAUACGAGAACGGGCUAGAAAUAGUCAACUCUUUGGACACUCGUAAACAGGUGGUGCAUGGUUGUCGUCAGCUCGUGUCGUGAGAUGUUGGGUUAAGUCCCGCAACGAGCGCAACCCUCGUUCUAUGUUGCCAGCACGU
RNAcentral lists this ribosomal RNA (945 nucleotides) under Microbacterium hatanonis. RNAcentral describes it as "bacterial SSU rRNA". It matches the Rfam family "Bacterial small subunit ribosomal RNA", at positions 164 to 1126 of the family's 1533-position model. Lineage: Bacteria; Bacillati; Actinomycetota; Actinomycetes; Micrococcales; Microbacteriaceae. The record is from RNAcentral.